GGAAGCGUGUCCGAGCGGCCGAAGGUGCAACACUCGAAAUGUUGUGAGGUGUCACAGCCUCCGGGGGUUCAAAUCCCUCCGCUUCCG
Transfer RNA from Actinomyces sp., 87 nucleotides. It matches the Rfam family "tRNA". Rfam says of the family: Transfer RNA (tRNA) molecules are approximately 80 nucleotides in length. NCBI's taxonomy places the organism in Bacteria, Bacillati, Actinomycetota, Actinomycetes, Actinomycetales, Actinomycetaceae. The record is from Rfam.